CUCAACAGCAACACCCAGGUGAGGGCAGUCUUGCUUGAAUAGCUAAUGAUUCUUGAAAAAUAGUAAGUGCCAGGGGAACCAAAUACUGGAUUCUUGUCUUGAGCCUUUUUAUGCAUCUGCUUCAGUUUUAGGUGUGGCUAGGGAAGGGAGCAGGCCUCAGGAAGGAACCAGCACUCUAAGACUGGCCUUUUUUUCCACUAGGUAGUUUUGCUGUCAGCCACAAUGCCUUCUGAUGUGCUUGAGGUGACCAAGAAGUUCAUGAGGGACCCCAUUCGGAUUCUUGUCAAGAAGGAAGAGUUGACCCUGGAGGGUAUCCGCCAGUUCUACAUCAACGUGGAACGAGAGGAGUGGAAGCUGGACACACUAUGUGACUUGUAUGAAACCCUGACCAUCACCCAGGCAGUCAUCUUCAUCAACACCCGGAGGAAGGUGGACUGGCUCACCGAGAAGAUGCAUGCUCGAGAUUUCACUGUAUCCGCCAUGCAUGGAGAUAUGGACCAAAAGGAACGAGACGUGAUCAUGAGGGAGUUUCGUUCUGGCUCUAGCAGAGUUUUGAUUACCACUGACCUGCUGGUGAGUUGAGGGAAC
This 588-nucleotide small RNA is filed under the name Pan troglodytes (chimpanzee). Its description in RNAcentral is "retained intron". The record is from RNAcentral. Lineage: Eukaryota; Metazoa; Chordata; Mammalia; Primates; Hominidae.